GGGAACGGUGGCGUAAUGGAAGCGCAUUUUCUUUGCAAGAAAAAGGUGUUGGUUCAAGCCCAACCUGUUCCCAC
This 74-nucleotide transfer RNA is filed under the name Undibacterium sp. YM2. RNAcentral describes it as "tRNA-Ala". It matches the Rfam family "tRNA". From Rfam's summary of the family: Transfer RNA (tRNA) molecules are approximately 80 nucleotides in length. Their secondary structure includes four short double-helical elements and three loops (D, anti-codon, and T loops). Lineage: Bacteria; Pseudomonadati; Pseudomonadota; Betaproteobacteria; Burkholderiales; Oxalobacteraceae. The record is from RNAcentral.